Molecule: small nuclear RNA, 187 nt
Organism: Oncorhynchus tshawytscha (Chinook salmon)
Lineage: Eukaryota; Metazoa; Chordata; Actinopteri; Salmoniformes; Salmonidae
Gene: U2
Rfam family: U2 spliceosomal RNA
About the family: U2 is a small nuclear RNA (snRNA) component of the spliceosome (involved in pre-mRNA splicing). Complementary binding between U2 snRNA (in an area lying towards the 5' end but 3' to hairpin I) and the branchpoint sequence (BPS) of the intron results the bulging out of an unpaired adenosine, on the BPS, which initiates a nucleophilic attack at the intronic 5' splice site, thus starting the first of two transesterification reactions that mediate splicing.
Source: Ensembl
AUCUGUUCUUAUAAAUGAUGUAAAAAAUGUAUGAGCUGUUCUUAUCAGUUUAAUAUCUGAUACGUCCCCUAUCUGGGGACCAUAUAUUAAAUUGAUUUUUGGAAUAGGGAGAUGGAAUAGGGGCUUGCUCCGUCCACUCCACGCAUCGACCUGGUAUUGCAGUACCUCCAGGAACGGUGCACCCCCU